RNAcentral lists this long non-coding RNA (417 nucleotides) under Elaeis guineensis (African oil palm). Its description in RNAcentral is "long non-coding RNA (EGUI_LNC004500)". Lineage: Eukaryota; Viridiplantae; Streptophyta; Magnoliopsida; Arecales; Arecaceae. The record is from RNAcentral.
GUUAGAUUUCUGGAGAACAUAUGGGAAGGAUUGAGUAUUUUGAAAGAGAGAAGAUUUCAUAAUUUAGAAAUCUCCUGUGGGCCUUUACUUAUGGGCAGAGGCUGAAGAGCCGUGAGAAGGAAGGAUAAUUAGACGGUUAGUCUUGACUUAUCAGAUGAGAUUCAGCUAUUAUUCUUCUCUUAUGUGGAGAGAUUUGUCUAUUAUUUCUUCCUUCUCUGCCUGCCAUCAUUUAUUCUUAAGAUUUGAAGAUUUAUAUGAGGGCUAAAAGUCUACUUUUUUUGCUUUGCCGAAUAAAAUCAGCUCAAGUGUCUUGUUGGAUCUGCUAGCAUUAAAGCGGGCUGAGCUAGAGGUACCUUCAUGUCUUUGUCUGCCUCACAUUUUUGGCCAGUAUGAAAGCAACCCCCAACAGUAGCUAUA